Molecule: unclassified non-coding RNA, 344 nt
Filed under: Hevea brasiliensis (rubber tree)
Lineage: Eukaryota; Viridiplantae; Streptophyta; Magnoliopsida; Malpighiales; Euphorbiaceae
Source: RNAcentral
CAAAAUUACAAGAAUUGAACCAAAAAACUGAGCUGUCCCUUGUUGGUUUAUGUGGAUUUUUCGGUUGGAAUUGCAUCAUUUCAUAACUGAUUCUAAUUCUUUAGCGACUUUUUGCGCAAUUUCCUGAGGGUNNNNNNNNUUUUCUGUUGUUGUAUCUAACCUUGACUCUUUAAGUCUACAAUCAAUUAUAGGUUAACGGCAUCAAUGCUCAUUUUGAUUGGAAAUGAGCCCAGAUGAAACAAUUAUUGUGAUUUUUACUACUUAUGGAUGGCUUUCUGUGACUGAAACGGAGCUACUUAACUUUUUGGCUGCCGCAGGUAUAUGAAGGUACACGGAAGUUUGAU